RNAcentral lists this transfer RNA (76 nucleotides) under Rhodocyclaceae bacterium. RNAcentral's name for it is "tRNA-Thr". It matches the Rfam family "tRNA". Rfam says of the family: Transfer RNA (tRNA) molecules are approximately 80 nucleotides in length. The record is from RNAcentral. Lineage: Bacteria; Pseudomonadati; Pseudomonadota; Betaproteobacteria; Rhodocyclales; Rhodocyclaceae.
GCCCUUGUAGCUCAGCUGGUAGAGCAGCGCACUUGUAAUGCGAAGGUCGGGGGUUCGACUCCUCUCGAGGGCACCA